RNAcentral lists this unclassified non-coding RNA (386 nucleotides) under Hevea brasiliensis (rubber tree). The record is from RNAcentral. Lineage: Eukaryota; Viridiplantae; Streptophyta; Magnoliopsida; Malpighiales; Euphorbiaceae.
GGGACCUGCAGCUCAUUCGCAAUGUUUGAUACCACAUGGGCUAUAACAGAAGAUUGGGGGCCAACAAUUGCCAUAGUAUCCGUCUCCAUGAAACGGAUAGCCUCAACUAUUCCAAGAAAUCCACUGGCAUUACUGUCCAAUGUUAUCAUAUUCAGUUUAGUUCCUCCAAGAACAUCUGGAUUGGAAUUUAUAUCCUCAACAGCAGCUUCCGCAGCAACUUUAGUAACUUUCCCAACAAGUGUAUUGAAAGACACCAUACACCCAAUGUUCACAACUUUAGGCCUUGCAGAAAGAGUUGAAUUAACCCCCUCUGAAGAACACCCAUUGUAGAGAACUACUAAAAUUAUUGUCCAAAAUAGUCUCAUAGUGAACUUGGGUACAAAAAU